Molecule: transfer RNA, 77 nt
Filed under: Bacteroidaceae bacterium
Lineage: Bacteria; Pseudomonadati; Bacteroidota; Bacteroidia; Bacteroidales; Bacteroidaceae
Description: tRNA-Arg
Rfam family: tRNA
About the family: Transfer RNA (tRNA) molecules are approximately 80 nucleotides in length.
Source: RNAcentral
GGUUCCGUAGCUCAACUGAAUAGAGCAUUUGACUACGGAUCAAAAGGUUGUGGGUUUGAAUCCCGCCGGAAUCACCA